This is a non-coding RNA of Vicugna pacos (alpaca), 1408 nucleotides long. NCBI's taxonomy places the organism in Eukaryota, Metazoa, Chordata, Mammalia, Artiodactyla, Camelidae. The record is from RefSeq and is a predicted model, not a curated record.
AGAGCUUAGACUUUCCAGCCAGACAUUCUUGAGCCUGAGUUUUGAUUCUAUCACUUAGAAGUCUUAGCAUCAGCCAUGGAGCUCACAGACCCAAUUCCCACCACUCCACUGCGCUCUAGCCACGUUACAACACAGCAUCGCCUACAUCCAUUCUCUGCUCCUUCGCUAGUGCUGCUUCCUUUGUGUGGGUGAAGAUCUUGGUGGGACCUGACCUAAUACUGCAGUGAUGGGGCUCUGCUUCUGCGCCCACUGCCCGCGGCAACGCGCACAGCCUCCUGCUUGUGCUCGCCAAGAGAGACGUAACCCCCACUGAGGAUCCACUUAGAUCUCAGCCCCAGUCUUCUCUCCUCCCACCUCUGCCAGCUCAUCCCCAUCUCCCGGUUUUGAACUCACGUUUAAGUUUAUUAUUUCAGAAAGCCUACAUUUACCCAUUUAAAUUCCCCACAUGCAAAUGGCCUCUGUUUCUUUUAUCUUUGUUUUCUCCCCUAAAAUAGGCAGUGAAAAGAAAGAAAAAUAUCUUGACCAUAGAGCAUCCCCGGACAGACAGCAUGAAUUCCUGCUGUCGUUGUAUUUGGUUUUGUUUUAACUGUGUUUCCCUAGUAGAUGUCUCAAAAAUCCCCGGGCCCCCUGCUUCAGUUCUGUCUUCAGCAAUUGGCAUACAAAACGAGUUUAUACUGUAUAGCACAGGGAACUAUAUUCAGUUCCUGCAUUAUUUUGUAGUCAUCUAUAAUGAAAAAGAAUAUGAAAAUGAAUAUAUGUAUGUAUAUGUAUGACUAAAACAUUAUGCUGUGCACCAGAGAUUGAUACAUUGCAAACUGACUAUACUUCAAGUUUUAAAAAAUGAAAGAAAAAAAGAAAUUAGCAUACAAUAGUUCCCUUAGUUAUAGUGUAGCCUUUGAAGUUUUAUAGCUUGGCAUUUCUGUGAGUUGAAUUAUAGCACCCAAAGCAAAACUGUACUUUUCACUAGAGUCUAUUGCUGUAAGAAAACUUUAAAGAAGUAUUUUAUGUCUUAUUAAGAAAUUAUGCAGUGGCUUUUUUUUCACACGCUUAAAGGUAAUGUUUGAAGGUCAAGGUCUUUUACAUUUUUAUAUUCUCCUGAGUCCCCAAAUGAAUGCCCAUUUAUAGUAAAACAACACUAGUUCUCCACAAAAUGGACACGAUUACUCCAAUAGUUAACAUCAAUUAUUGUAACAAUGAAAUAGUGCUGCUAUUUCCUUUUAUAAAUGGUUGUAAAAUAGGAUGAUUUACCCAUGUUCCCUCAGCUCCUUCUCCACUGUUGCAUGCCACACACUGAAAUCUAUGCUCACAAGUGUCCAUAUGUUAUAUAUACACAACAAAGCACUACAAUAUUUGUGUAAUGAAAACUUUAAUGCCAAAAAACAACAUCAAAGACAAAAAAGAAAAAAAA